Molecule: non-coding RNA, 2110 nt
Organism: Lactuca sativa (garden lettuce)
Lineage: Eukaryota; Viridiplantae; Streptophyta; Magnoliopsida; Asterales; Asteraceae
Source: RefSeq, a predicted model, not a curated record
AGAUUAGUCCCACAUUUUUAUCAAAUAGUAAAACAAAAAACCCCUCUGUUGUGUUAAUAUUACAAUCAACCCUAACAAUCAUUUGACUUUGAUAAAGUAACAUAAUAACCCUUCAUUUGACAAAUACCUUACAAGAUCAACCCAGUCCUAAACCAUUGAAACCAUUUAUCCAAAACAACCCCUCCCCUGAAUUAUUUUAACCAAAUCAGACCUAUUUAAGUUAAUUAAAUUACCAAAUAACCCCUAAUAGUUUAUAUUUGUUACGAAAUGGUCCCGAGAGUAUUUCAAAGUUCAAGAAUUAUGGAUUUACGGUUUCUCACGUCAAGCUUCUCAAAGAAACCGAAUUCGAACGAUUGGAACUCACGCAACGAAUCAUGGUGACGUUGCGAGAGAGACCAGCGGGUGGAUCAGGCGCCAGAGAGGGAUCAGGCUCGGGUUUAGGGGCCGAGCAGCUCGAGGAGCGGAUGAGAGAGUUGAUAUCAGCUGAGGUUACACGUAAUAUUCUAGCUCAGACUCCUGUGAUCUUUGGCAUGGUCAAGGAGGGUAUACUGGAGAUCUUGGAUGAGAGGCUGGGAGCCUUCCGUACCGAGAUGAUGACUUUGUUGGGAGCGCGUACCUUGACAUUUCGAGAGUUCAGGGCUUGCGGGGCACCAGAUUAUCAUGGGACUAGGGACCCCAUUGCUAGCAGCAGAUGGUUGGCUGAUGUUGCCAACGCUUUUCGUACGAGCAAGUGUCCCGAGGGGGACAAGGUUAGGCUCGCCUCCUGUCUUCUGAAGGACAGAGCGAGGGAUUGGUGGGAGGAGAUUGGUCAUGCUUUGGGGGAUGAUGUCGCGUUGGACGCGAUGACUUGGAGCGAUUUCUCGGCCAGGUUCAGGGCGGAGUUUUCACCGAUUAUUGAAGUGCAGCAGCUGGCACGAGAGUUUCAGGAUUUGACGCAGACUACUGAGACUGUGGCGGAGAUCACCGCCAGGUUCAGGGAGAGGGCUCUUCUUGUGCCGUAGUAUGUCGCAGAUGAGGAGAUGAAGAAGGCUCGGUACCAUGAGAUGUUGAGGGAUGACAUCAGGGAGUUCGUGAGCAGAUCCAGCUAUAAGACGCUGGAAGAUAUGAUUUCUCGGGCUAGAGAAAGGGAAAUUGAUUUGGAGCAAAUCCGGAAGAGGAAGCCGGAUGAGGUUCAGGUAGCUGCGGGUUCGGGCAAAAGGCCCAAGGGAUCGGAUUCGAGAUCGAGGGAUCAUCAGUACCGCAGUCGGUGCGGAAAGUGUGGCAGGGCGCUCGGGGGCGCGUGCAGGAGUGGUAGCGGUGGUGAGUCUGGCUAUUUCAAGUGCGGUCGGACUGGCCAUUUCAGCAGGGAUUGUACUGUUACUGCCGUGCAGGGAUCAGACUUGAUAUGUUUCCACUGCAACCAGCGGGGCCACAAGAAGGCCUAGUGUCCCAGUUUGUUUUCGGCAGGAUGGGUGAUGGCACCCGCCCCUGCAACUUUGAGGAUCACGGAUGGCCGUCAAGGCCGGGUAGAGGCACCUGUGGCAGGGAGCAGGGCUUUUCAGAUGAUGACCUUGGAGACGCGAGCAACGCCGGACGUUGCAGGUACUUCCGGUAGCGGAGGGAAGAGCUCGGAGUGAUCGCAUGGCACACACCAUAGUUUAGACAGCCUGGUAAUGUUUACUCUGAUAACGAAUAUGUAUUUUGGAAACUAAUACUUUGUUUAUGUUUUGAAAUGAUGAAUUUGCUUAACGUAAUGUUUUAUUAAAAGAAAUUUUUAGUCUUGAAUUUUGGGACGUUACACAUAUGACCAUCAAUUUUGAGCAAGAAUCAUCCAAAUAAAAAACAUGUCAAUAUGGUUAUUUCAAAUUAAUACUAUACUUCCAACUGCCCAUAAGUAACCGAGCCUUUGGUAAAUGUCACACCCCAAAACCAAGAACGGCGGAAACGUUCUGGGGCGGAGGACGUCAUGUACAGUAUCACAACACAGUAAAUGUAAAUAAGCAAACAACAUCAUCCAUUGCAUUAAAUAUAUAAUUUUAAUACAAGCGUGUUCUGUACAGUUUUAGACACCAAAAAUAUAAUGUCAAGCAAAAUAAUAUGAUGAGUCUUGAAUGCGCUCCAUCUUCUCAAA